GGCAAUGUAUGGGAACCAGAGCAGGGAACCAGUCUAGAAGGCAAAGAAAAUUCCGCCAAGUAAACAACAAAGAAAGGGAUUUGGGAUGUUGUCAGUUGUAGACAUUAUGUGGGCCGGUGACUGCAAGAAGCAAGGAAUGUGGAGCUAAUGCAUAUUGCUAAGGAUGGAAAGGUCUUGUGUUUGUUGGUUGUGCCUGAGACACCAGUCACAGUUGUACCUUAUUUCCAUUUUAGGGAGUCUAUAUACACUUGAGAGGUGAGCGUCAGAUUUAAAUUUGAAGAUGGAUGACUUUCAGAUGUUAUGAUGAAGAUUGUUGAAAGAGAUUAUCAACAUAGAAUCAAUCCAUAUGAAUGUGCAAGUCAGGACUUGUACAACACCUGAGUACCCAGAUGACUGUUGAACUAAUUGGUGAACAAGAAAAGAUGUCAGAGACGGGAAUCCAAUACAGAUGUCAUGAUCAAGAAAAUGUACUGUUAUCAAUGAUAUGAUCAAGAAUUUGUAAACUUGUAGCGAUUUAGAAUAUCUUAUCUGUAAUAUCUUCAAUACUUAAUUGUUCACACAUUAUCAUCUUAUCUG
Long non-coding RNA from Saccostrea cuccullata (small rock oyster), 576 nucleotides. RefSeq lists it as uncharacterized. NCBI's taxonomy places the organism in Eukaryota, Metazoa, Mollusca, Bivalvia, Ostreida, Ostreidae. The transcript has 4 exons. The record is from RefSeq and is a predicted model, not a curated record.